UAGGAGUUCGGCGCGCAAUUAGCAAAUGAUGAAAGGUUAGAUUUCGCUGCGAUCUACCCACUGACGGUCCCCGUGCUCCCUCCUGUCCUGCAGCCCUCGCUUCUCCGGCUCCCCUUCGCUCCUGGGGAUUCCUGACACGCAGCAAACUGUGCUCGGAUUUCAGCCCUCCGAAUGCAAGCAGCGCCUUUUCAUCAUCCCAGCUCCAGUGAAUCAACCCCAGAUUACAGCGCACCAUCAAUCAUCUACCACCUAUACCAACGGCGAGGCUUCUGCAAACACAACUGGCAGCAGAACGCCGGAGAUUGUCGAUGUUUUUUGAGCAACCACCUUUCCUGUUACAAGUCUCCAUUUCUGGAGCUUCCCAAUGAUUCACAAUGGAAAUAGCUCCACAGCCUGAGGAUCCUAACCCUGGGCCUCAACCUCCAUCAGCAACAGCCAGCCUGAUCCUCAGGGAUCCAAGGUGGAUCCACAGACCUUCAAGGGACAAAGAACCUGAGAUGUAAACUGGUACAAUAGUUAUAUUGCACCACCUCGAUGUCAUAAACAGGUGACAUCCUUAGCUGUUCCUGGGUCAAAACCAGGUGAAACUUGCCACGUGGGGUUCUCUUGGUUUAUUCUAGAUGAAGGCAAGCAAGUAGGGACCUCACCUACAAUCUGCCAGUGGGUUUUCCCUGGACAAGACAGUAGGACUCCCUGUACACACUGUCUUCUAGCUCGUUAACUACAACAUGGGUGAGCCUGACCCAGGCCUGGUCGUUUUUCCAAAAGUCUCACAAAGUCGGUGGGUGGAGUUUGGGAGGUGGGGGUGGUAGUGUUUUGGGGAUUUUUUUAUUCCAUCUUCUCACAAAUUCUCAUGACUAGAAUCCCACAUGCCCUUUUUUCCUUUUUCUUAAAGCAUAGUUUCUGGCCACUUCUGGUGCAAAUAAAGGCUUGAAUAAUAAGCCCCAAAAGCUCAAAAAAAAAAAAA
Molecule: long non-coding RNA, 967 nt
Organism: Calidris pugnax (ruff)
Lineage: Eukaryota; Metazoa; Chordata; Aves; Charadriiformes; Scolopacidae
Exons: 2
Source: RefSeq, a predicted model, not a curated record